GCGGCGCAGGUUUGGACAAUAUAUUCUUGUUCUUGUUUUUGCUGUUAGAUUUUCCAGUAAAACAUCUCCACCUUCACUGAGCAGUCAGAGGAGGGACGAUACAAGAGCCAUCACAGUAGUCCAUGGGUUCCUGGGUUUAUGUUCAUCCUGGGUCCAAAUGGAUUUGCUUCAGGUGCUCCUGUUUCCUUCCACCCUCCAAAACCAUGGCAGUAGGUGGACUGGCAAAGAUGAACAGCCUGAAGAGUUGCAGUAAUUUUCAUCCAAGAUCUUGUAUUGAUGAUGGGAGCGUCGGACCGCUGGGUCUUCUCCAGCACAUCCCAAAGGUUCUCAA
Molecule: long non-coding RNA, 331 nt
Organism: Silurus meridionalis
Lineage: Eukaryota; Metazoa; Chordata; Actinopteri; Siluriformes; Siluridae
Exons: 3
Source: RefSeq, a predicted model, not a curated record